GACGAACGCUGGCGGCGUGCCUAAUACAUGCAAGUCGAACGAGAGCGACCGGUGCUUGCACUGGUCAAUCUAGUGGCGAACGGGUGAGUAACACGUGGGUAACCUGCCCAUCAGAGGGGGAUAACAUCCGGAAACGGAUGCUAAAACCGCAUAGGUCUUCGAGCCGCAUGGCUUGAAGAGGAAAAGAGGCGCAAGCUUCUGCUGAUGGAUGGACCCGCGGUGCUUUAGCUAGUUGGUGAGGUAACGGCUCACCAAAGCCGUGAUGCAUAGCCGACCUGAGAGGGUGAUCGGCCACAUUGGGACUGAGACACGGCCCAAACUCCUACGGGAGGCAGCAGUAGGGAAUCUUCCGCAAUGGACGCAAGUCUGACGGAGCAACGCCGCGUGAGUGAAGAAGGUUUUCGGAUCGUAAAACUCUGUUGUUAGAGAAGAACAAGUGCUAGAGUAACUGUUAGCGCCUUGACGGUAUCUAACCAGAAAGCCACGGCUAACUACGUG
Molecule: ribosomal RNA, 498 nt
Filed under: uncultured bacterium
Lineage: Bacteria
Description: partial 16S ribosomal RNA
Rfam family: Bacterial small subunit ribosomal RNA
Source: RNAcentral